CCUAACACAUGCAAGUCGAACGGUAACAGGAAGCAGCUUGCUGCUUCGCUGACGAGUGGCGGACGGGUGAGUAAUGUCUGGGAAACUGCCUGAUGGAGGGGGAUAACUACUGGAAACGGUAGCUAAUACCGCAUAACGUCGCAAGACCAAAGAGGGGGACCUUCGGGCCUCUUGCCAUCAGAUGUGCCCAGAUGGGAUUAGCUAGUAGGUGGGGUAACGGCUCACCUAGGCGACGAUCCCUAGCUGGUCUGAGAGGAUGACCAGCCACACUGGAACUGAGACACGGUCCAGACUCCUACGGGAGGCAGCAGUGGGGAAUAUUGCACAAUGGGCGCAAGCCUGAUGCAGCCAUGCCGCGUGUAUGAAGAAGGCCUUCGGGUUGUAAAGUACUUUCAGCGGGGAGGAAGGCGAUGCGGUUAAUAACCGCGUCGAUUGACGUUACCCGCAGAAGAAGCACCGGCUAACUCCGUGCCAGCAGCCGCGGUAAUACGGAGGGUGCAAGCGUUAAUCGGAAUUACUGGGCGUAAAGCGCACGCAGGCGGUCUGUCAAGUCGGAUGUGAAAUCCCCGGGCUCAACCUGGGAACUGCAUCCGAAACUGGCAGGCUUGAGUCUCGUAGAGGGGGGUAGAAUUCCAGGUGUAGCGGUGAAAUGCGUAGAGAUCUGGAGGAAUACCGGUGGCGAAGGCGGCCCCCUGGACGAAGACUGACGCUCAGGUGCGAAAGCGUGGGG
Molecule: ribosomal RNA, 730 nt
Filed under: Enterobacter sp. Wr1A11
Lineage: Bacteria; Pseudomonadati; Pseudomonadota; Gammaproteobacteria; Enterobacterales; Enterobacteriaceae
Description: bacterial SSU rRNA
Rfam family: Bacterial small subunit ribosomal RNA
Source: RNAcentral